UAGUUAAUGAUGGGAAUCUUGUAGUUACUUCUUUCAUUGAGGGAUUAUUCUUACAUGCUAAACAUUUCUUACAUCUUGUAAACCCAUGAGUGGAGUCUUGACCUCUGGUAGUAUUGAAGGAUUUGAUAGUAGGUGCCAGCACAAGUUGGAGAUUAGGGGCUCUUGUGAAUAUGAUCUGUGAUUGGUGAUCAAGGAAUUUAGAAAGGAUUCCCCAGUGUUUUUUCAAAAUCUUCUGUAUUUUCAGCGCUUGAUGGUUAUAU
Pelobates cultripes (western spadefoot toad) is the source of this 260-nucleotide non-coding RNA. The record is from the annotation of a GenBank genome assembly. NCBI's taxonomy places the organism in Eukaryota, Metazoa, Chordata, Amphibia, Anura, Pelobatidae.